Long non-coding RNA from Phyllostomus discolor (pale spear-nosed bat), 185 nucleotides. RefSeq lists it as uncharacterized. The transcript is spliced from 3 exons. Lineage: Eukaryota; Metazoa; Chordata; Mammalia; Chiroptera; Phyllostomidae. The record is from RefSeq and is a predicted model, not a curated record.
AUUUUUUUUUAUUGUUGUUCAAGUACAGUUUUGUGUUUUUACUUACAUAAAUGUUUUUAAUUCUUUUAUCUAUGCUUCUGUGUUAGGAAUGUAACUCUAGAAACCAUAACGAUAUCCGAAUGCAAGGCAAUGCCCUGGAAUACGAUAAUUGGUUUUGUUUCUAAAUUUAAAUUAAUUAAUUAAUU